RNAcentral lists this transfer RNA (141 nucleotides) under Streptomyces cellulosae. RNAcentral's name for it is "tRNA-OTHER". Lineage: Bacteria; Bacillati; Actinomycetota; Actinomycetes; Kitasatosporales; Streptomycetaceae. The record is from RNAcentral. RNAcentral also lists the same sequence under 1 other name.
GGCGUUGUGCCCAGCAGUUGGCGGGGCACCUGUGGGGCAUCAGGGCUUCUACCGACCAAAGCUCCAGGUCAUGUGCCUUUCGUUGCGCAGACUGUAAAUCUGCCGGCUCAGCCUUCCCAGGUUCGAAUCCUGGCGCCGCCA